This 221-nucleotide ribosomal RNA is filed under the name uncultured bacterium. Its description in RNAcentral is "partial 16S ribosomal RNA". It matches the Rfam family "Bacterial small subunit ribosomal RNA", at positions 96 to 334 of the family's 1533-position model. The record is from RNAcentral.
CGGCGGACGGCUGAGUAACACGUAGGAACGUACCCCAAAGUGAGGGAUAAUCCGCCGAAAGGCGGACUAAUACCGCAUAUGCUCUAAGGAGUAAAGCUUCGGCGCUUUGGGAACGGCCUGCGUCCGAUUAGCUAGUUGGUGAGAUAAAAGCUCACCAAGGCGACGAUCGGUAGCUGGUCUGAGAGGAUGAUCAGCCAGACUGGGACUGAGACACGGCCCAG